AAAAAAGGUAAGCUACUAAGAGCGAAUGGUGGAUGCCUUGACUGGUAAAGGCGAUGAAGGACGUACUAGACUGCGAUAAGCUACGGGGAGCUGUCAAGAAGCUUUGAUCCGUAGAUUUCCGAAUGGGGCAACCCAAUGUAUAGAGAUAUACAUUACCUAUAUAGGAGCGAACGAGGGGAAUUGAAACAUCUUAGUACCCUCAGGAAAAGAAAUCAAUAGAGAUUGUGUCAGUAGCGGCGAGCGAAAGCGCAAGAGGGCAAACCCAGUGCUUGCACUGGGGGUUGUAGGACUGCAAUGUGCAAGAGCUGAGUUUAGCAGAACAUUCUGGAAAGUAUAGCCAUAGAGGGUGAUAGUCCCGUAUGCGAAAAACAAAGCUUAGCUAGCAGUAUCCUGAGUAGGGCGGGACACGAGGAAUCCUGUCUGAAUCCGGGUCGACCACGAUCCAACCCUAAAUACUAAUACCAGAUCGAUAGUGCACAAGUACCGUGAGGGAAAGGUGAAAAGAACUGAGGUGAUCAGAGUGAAAUAGAACCUGAAACCAUUUGCUUACAAUCAUUCAGAGCACUAUGUAGCAAUACAGUGUGAUGGACUGCCUUUUGCAUAAUGAGCCUGCGAGUUGUGGUGUCUGGCAAGGUUAAGCAAACGCGAAGCCGUAGCGAAAGCGAGUCUGAAUAGGGCGCUUAGUCAGAUGCUGCAGACCCGAAACGAAGUGAUCUAUCCAUGAGCAAGUUGAAGCUAGUGUAAGAACUAGUGGAGGACUGAACCCAUAGGCGUUGAAAAGCCCCGGGAUGACUUGUGGAUAGGGGUGAAAGGCCAAUCAAACUUCGUGAUAGCUGGUUCUCUCCGAAAUAUAUUUAGGUAUAGCGUUGUGUCGUAAUAUAAGGGGGUAGAGCACUGAAUGGGCUAGGGCAUACACCAAUGUACCAAACCCUAUCAAACUCCGAAUACCUUAUAUGUAAUCACAGCAGUCAGGCGGCGAGUGAUAAAAUCCGUCGUCAAGAGGGAAACAACCCAGACUACCAGCUAAGGUCCCUAAAUCUUACUUAAGUGGAAAACGAUGUGAAGUUACUUAAACAACCAGGAGGUUGGCUUAGAAGCAGCCAUCCUUUAAAGAAAGCGUAAUAGCUCACUGGUCUAGUGAUUUUGCGCGGAAAAUAUAACGGGGCUAAAGUAAGUACCGAAGCUGUAGACUUGCGCACAACUUAGAUUAUUUAAGUUUAGAAUAUGAGAAACUAAGUUAUAUUUUUACUGAUUUUUAUAGAGUAAAGAUAGAAAUAAAACUUAGUAAAAUCAGUAAAAAUAUUCUUAGGCUAAAGUUAAGUAGUUUAAGUUGUGUGCAAGUGGUAGGAGAGCGUUCUAUUUGCGUCGAAGGUAUACCGGUAAGGAGUGCUGGAGCGAAUAGAAGUGAGCAUGCAGGCAUGAGUAGCGAUAAUUAAUGUGAGAAUCAUUAACGCCGUAAACCCAAGGUUUCCUACGCGAUGCUCGUCAUCGUAGGGUUAGUCGGGUCCUAAGUCGAGUCCGAAAGGGGUAGACGAUGGCAAAUUGGUUAAUAUUCCAAUACCAACAUUAGUGUGCGAUGGAAGGACGCUUAGGGCUAAGGGGGCUAGCGGAUGGAAGUGCUAGUCUAAGGUCGUAGGAGGUUAUACAGGCAAAUCCGUAUAACAAUACUCCGAGAACUGAAAGGCUUUUUGAAGUCUUCGGAUGGAUAGAAGAACCCCUGAUGCCGUCGAGCCAAGAAAAGUUUCUAAGUUUAGCUAAUGUUGCCCGUACCGUAAACCGACACAGGUGGGUGGGAUGAGUAUUCUAAGGCGCGUGGAAGAACUCUCUUUAAGGAACUCUGCAAAAUAGCACCGUAUCUUCGGUAUAAGGUGUGGUUAGCUUCGUACUAGGAUUUACUCCGAAAGCGAAGAAACUUACAACAAAGAGUCCCUCCCGACUGUUUACCAAAAACACAGCACUCUGCUAACUCGUAAGAGGAUGUAUAGGGUGUGACGCCUGCCC
Molecule: ribosomal RNA, 2001 nt
Filed under: Campylobacter jejuni
Lineage: Bacteria; Pseudomonadati; Campylobacterota; Epsilonproteobacteria; Campylobacterales; Campylobacteraceae
Description: partial 23S ribosomal RNA
Rfam family: Bacterial large subunit ribosomal RNA
Source: RNAcentral